This 72-nucleotide transfer RNA is filed under the name Ictidomys tridecemlineatus (thirteen-lined ground squirrel). RNAcentral describes it as "Spermophilus tridecemlineatus (thirteen-lined ground squirrel) tRNA". It matches the Rfam family "tRNA". Rfam says of the family: Transfer RNA (tRNA) molecules are approximately 80 nucleotides in length. Their secondary structure includes four short double-helical elements and three loops (D, anti-codon, and T loops). Further hydrogen bonds mediate the characteristic L-shaped molecular structure. tRNAs have two regions of fundamental functional importance: the anti-codon, which is responsible for specific mRNA codon recognition, and the 3' end, to which the tRNAs corresponding amino acid is attached (by aminoacyl-tRNA synthetases). tRNAs cope with the degeneracy of the genetic code in two manners: having more than one tRNA (with a specific anti-codon) for a particular amino acid; and 'wobble' base-pairing, i.e. permitting non-standard base-pairing at the 3rd anti-codon position. Lineage: Eukaryota; Metazoa; Chordata; Mammalia; Rodentia; Sciuridae. The record is from Rfam by way of RNAcentral.
UGGGGUGUGGCUCAGUGGCAGGGCACCUGCCUUGGACAUGUGAGGCCCUGGGUUCGAUCCUCAGCACCACAU